UGUUGAAAUACCAGUUCUUGUAUGAUCACUGAAGUUAAGCAACAUUGAGCAUAGUCAGUACCUAGAUAGGUGACCGCUUCAAAAUUCCAGGUGCUGUAAG
Molecule: non-coding RNA, 100 nt
Organism: Acanthosepion pharaonis
Lineage: Eukaryota; Metazoa; Mollusca; Cephalopoda; Sepiida; Sepiidae
Source: the annotation of a GenBank genome assembly